RNAcentral lists this antisense RNA (511 nucleotides) under Streptomyces sp. NRRL F-4428. RNAcentral describes it as "Saccharopolyspora sRNA 350". It matches the Rfam family "Saccharopolyspora sRNA 350". The record is from Rfam by way of RNAcentral. Lineage: Bacteria; Bacillati; Actinomycetota; Actinomycetes; Kitasatosporales; Streptomycetaceae.
GUGGCGGUGUAGUCGGCGGUCGCGUCGGCGUCCAGCAGCGCGUUCUCGCCGAACCGGUCGCCGUCCGCCAGUACCGCGACGGCGAUCUCGUCGCCGUACUUGCCGACGGAGGUCUGGUUGACGCGGCCGUGCGCGAUGAGGUGGAUCCGCUCGGCGGGGGUCCCCCGCUCGACCAGCACCUCACCGGCGCGGAAGUCGCGCUGGACGCAGCGGUCGGCGAGCGUGGCCAGGACCUGCUCGUCCUCGAAGCCGCGCAGCAGGGCGAGUUCGCCGAGUUCGCGCGGGAUCACCCGGACGGUGGCCCCGUCCUGGACGAACUCGAUGCGGCCGUCGCCGACGGUGUAGGUCAGGCGGCGGUUGACGCGGUAGGUGCCGCCCUUGGUCUCCACCCAGGGGAGCGUCUUCAGGAGCCACCGGGAGGUGAUCUCCUGCAUCUGGGGGGCGGACUUGGUCGUGGUGGCAAGGUUGCGGGCGGCCGCCGUGCCCAGACUCAUCUGCUGGGUCGGCUCCA